AGAUGUCAGGGUGAUAAUGGCUGUGGCAUCUGUCACCUCAUGAAUUGCCAGUGUUGAUUUGGCUGAUCUGGCUGGCCAAGGGGUGUCCCCUUCCUCCCUCACUGCUCCAUGUGUGCCCCCACCAAGCUGUGUACUUGGUCAAAGAGUAUAACCAUCCCCGAUUGAGGAGGACCAUAUUUCGGUCAAGGGUAUACUGGUACCUGCACUCCCCUGCAAAACAUCCAAACAGGCUGUCAAGAACCAACUCUGAAGACUAACUUAGAACCAUCUCUAUUCUGGGUACCAUGUUAGAUAAUAAGGAUACUAGGAGUGAAUGAGACUUCCUAGUCCCUCCUUAAAAUGUUAUUCUGUCUGAAAAG
Non-coding RNA from Otolemur garnettii (small-eared galago), 359 nucleotides. The record is from Rfam. NCBI's taxonomy places the organism in Eukaryota, Metazoa, Chordata, Mammalia, Primates, Galagidae.